This 253-nucleotide unclassified non-coding RNA is filed under the name uncultured Verrucomicrobiota bacterium. RNAcentral describes it as "uncultured Verrucomicrobia bacterium contains 16S-23S intergenic spacer region". It matches the Rfam family "Bacterial small subunit ribosomal RNA", at positions 524 to 776 of the family's 1533-position model. The record is from RNAcentral. Lineage: Bacteria; Pseudomonadati; Verrucomicrobiota.
UACGAAGGUCCCAAGCGUUGUUCGGAAUUACUGGGCGUAAAGGGAGCGUAGGCGGCGGGGUAAGUCAGAUGUGAAAUACCGGGGCUCAACUCCGGGACGGCAUCCGAUACUGCCUUGCUAGAGUAGUGGAGGGGCGACUGGAAUUCUCGGUGUAGCAGUGAAAUGCGUAGAGAUCGAGAGGAACACUAGUGGCGAAGGCGAGUCGCUGGACACUUACUGACGCUGAGGCUCGAAGGCCAGGGGAGCGAAAGGG